AAUAUUUGAGAGUAUUUAUCCCAAGAUAUGUACAUUUCCUUCUGAAUUAUGAUACCAUGAAUCUCCACAUUUUUACUGCUGGCAAACCUUAGUUUCUUUUUAGUAUAAAAAUUAAUUCAAACAGAUCUUUUAAUGGUUUCUUUUUGAACCUAAGCCCAUCAUUUUGUGUGCCCCUAAGGCUGUGUGCACCUCAUUUUGGAGAGGAAGGAGAAAGGAUGGAGUUUGGAUUAACUUGUUUAAAUAUGGUUCUUUAUUCUUUUUUAAGAUCUAUAAGGCUUCAAGGUGAGGAAGGGACUGCAGAAACUUUCUAAUAGAUCCUGAGAGCUUUUAGAAGUGAGGAAGAAAGUUAUUUAUUUUUCUUUAUAUAUACUCUUAGAGGCAUUUGUAGAUAUAGAGUGUAACAUGGCCAAAAUGUUUCUGCAAAUUAUAGAAUUAAACGACAAAUGCCAUUUUAUGAAAGACUAGGAAGAGUUUUUUUUUUUUUUAAUCAGAAAGCCCUUCAAAUGUUAAUUGCUUAUCUUGAAUAAGGCCACCUCCAAUCAGAAUUACCAUUCAUAUCAGUGCACUUGAAAAUCCCAAGAAACAAAUAGCUCAGUGACCAUUUUAAACUAUAGGAGCAAGGUCCAAGGAAAACUAAGCUGAGAGAAAAGGUGAUUCUGCUAACUUCACUUUAAAUCACAAAUUUCAAGUUAAAAAAAACAUCUAUAGUAUAUCAGCCACACUUCAUCUCCCUGGCACGUGGGUUUAUUACAGCAUAGGAAAACCAGAAAUUGUAACACAAGCUGACUUUACAGACUCCUCAUGUUAAAAUUUGAGAUGUUUUCAGAACAGUCACCCUCAAAAUGGGUGCUUGCUAAGACAUGCUGACAUACCUCUGAAAUCAAAAAGAGUUUCUACUGGGUGAAUAAAAGUAGGUUGCCACAAAAAUGUACAUCAAUUACAAAACAAGUCACUGAGUGUUUGCCAACUGCCAUGAGUGUCCCGGAGGCAGUCUGGGCAGUAUAUUUUUAUUCGAUUUGCUCCAGGCCACUUCCAUUCUCUUCCUGAAAGGUGGACAGGUAGUGUUUUUAAAUCCUUCGCUGAUGGUUUCCAUCAAUGACCUCAAAAUGGAACUGAUAACAUGUCAAUGAUUACUGUAUAAAGAAGUUAAGCAUCACAGCUAAAUUUCCUCACUGAAACCCAAUCCAGGGAUUAGCAACAAUAGGGAAUCUGUUUUAUUUGCAUUUAAUUUGUACCUUCACACUAUUAUCUCCCAUGUUUUAGUUUCGGGAAAUGUGGUCUCAGGCUAUUAUAACCACAUUUCAUGCUGCUGUUGCACUGUUAUUUGAUCUCUAUGGUUGGAAAUGACUUACU
This 1353-nucleotide long non-coding RNA is filed under the name Marmota monax (woodchuck). The record is from RNAcentral. Lineage: Eukaryota; Metazoa; Chordata; Mammalia; Rodentia; Sciuridae.